RNA transcript from Mustela lutreola (European mink), 3281 nucleotides. It is a transcript of the gene named ribonuclease H1, with no coding region annotated. The record is from RefSeq and is a predicted model, not a curated record. The transcript has 11 exons. Lineage: Eukaryota; Metazoa; Chordata; Mammalia; Carnivora; Mustelidae.
CUCCGCGCCGUCGCCGGAAGUUGGGUCUGGUGGUGGAGGCGCGAGCGGCGAAGCGAAGCGGCGGGGCGAUGGCCGGCUGUGGGCCAUGACCCGGCUUCUGGGCGCGGCGCGCAGGGUUGCUUUGGCCGCGGUGCGCGGUAGCUCCGGCGGCCGCAGCGGCCUCAGCAUGUUUUAUGCCGUGAGGAGGGGCCGCAAGGCCGGGGUCUUCCAGACCUGGAGCGAGUGCAGGGCGCAGGUGGACCGCUUCCCGGCCGCGCGCUUUAAGAAGUUUGCCACGGAGGAGGAGGCCUGGGCCUUCGUCGGGCGGCCCGCCGGCCCGGGCGGCGCGGAAGGGACAGAAGAUAAGCAUGAACAAGAAUCACAAGUGAAAGCCAACAAGCGACUCCGUGAGCCCUCGGAUGGAGAUGAAAACGCAGAGCCCUGUGCAAAGCAGGCAAGACAGACCACGGGAUCCGUGCCUUUGGUUGACAAAAGCACAUUUUCUUACAUGGGAGAAUUUGUUGUCGUCUACACUGAUGGCUGCUGCUCCAGUAACGGGCGGAGGAGGGCACGAGCAGGCAUCGGUGUUUACUGGGGGCCCGGCCAUCCUUUGAACAUAGGCAUUAGGCUUCCUGGACGGCAGACCAACCAAAGAGCAGAAAUUCAUGCAGCCUGCAAAGCCAUCGAGCAGGCAAAGGCUCAAAACAUCAAGAAGCUGGUUCUGUAUACGGACAGUAUGUUUACUAUAAAUGGCAUCACUAACUGGGUUCAAGGCUGGAAGAAGAACGGGUGGAAGACAAGCACGGGGAAGGAGGUGAUCAACAGGGAGGACUUCGUGGCGCUGGAGCAGCUCGCCCAGGGCAUGGACAUCCAGUGGAUGCAUGUUCCUGGUCAUUCGGGAUUUGUAGGCAAUGAAGAGGCGGACAGAUUAGCACGAGAAGGAGCAAAGCGAUCUGAGGACUGAGCAAGGUCGUCAUUCUUGGACAACUUGACUUUAUGGAGGUGCGCUCGACGGACAGCAGAUGGCACGUGUGUAAAGCGGACCUGGGAUUCCGCGGUGAAGCCCCCGCAGGAGCUGCCUGUCCCCUCCCAGGUUCUUUCACACCGCCUUGAAAUCCUUCUGUCCCGGACCCCAUCCUCGGGCGACCACCAGUCUGCCUCCAGUCUCUGUAGAUAAUUUGUAUUUUCUAAGCUUUGUCGGCAGCUGGAGGGAGCUGAGUGACCGCAGUGUACGACGUAGUCCUCCGUCGUGGAAUGCAGAAGCUUCUGAGCCGCUCCGCUCUCAGAGUGGGAGCUUGACGCUUGCCAGAUGGAGGCUGUUCACAUGUUAUUUGUAGCAUCUGCGCCAGCACGAUGAGUAGGUAUGCACAGGAGGAGGGGGCAGAGGUGGAGGAGGGAGAGAAUCUUAAGCCGGCCCCACACUGAACGCAGAGCCCAACGGGGAGCUCAGUCUCCCGACCCUGAGAUCAUGACCUGAGCCAAAAUCAAGAGUUGGAUGCUUUCCCGACCGAGCCACAGGCACCCCUUGAACUAAAAAAACUUUAAAAAGACCUAAGCAUGGACAAAUUCUGAAAAAAAAAAAUGGAACUGCUGUGACAGGAGGCUCAUUUCUCUGAUACCUAAAGUAGAAAGUGAGAAAAUGCCUAAUAAUAGAAUGGCCGGUCAUAAAGCACUCGCACCCUCGAGCAAGGAAAGACUGCAGACUGACUGCACCGAGACCUCCCUGUAGCCUAUCAGUACCUUGUAAUACAGGAUUUAUUCGCAAAACCAGCAGUCCGGGAGGCUGCUGGAAACCACGCACUUCCAUGCCGGCGUGGGCAGCACAAAAUGAAGUUCGCUGCCUGCUGAGAGGAGCGCGGGUAGCUUUGACCCAGCCUUCGCUGCUGUUCGGAACUUGCCGUGCAGGUCCGCCUGCGGGCAUCCAGGCGAAGACGGGAUUCGCAGUCCCUGAGCAGGAAAGCAUACGGGGGCAGCCGCCGUGGCCUCGGGCGGUGCGCGGAGGGCUUGGUGCAUCGGUGCCAGAGCGGAGGGCACCCUGCGGAGGCCAGGGUGGGCGGGAGCAGGUGCACGGAGGAGGCCUCUCCGCGUGUGAGCCCCUGCCUGUCCUCCGCGUGUGAGCCCCUGCCUGUGCUCCGCGUGUGAGCCCCUGCCUGUCCUCUUGAUUUUGAGUCAUGUCGGAAUAAAUGCUCAAAUACAGGAGCGAUUUUAUUUUAUUUAUUUUUUUUUUAAGAUUUUAUUUAUUUAUUUGACAGAGAAAAAUCACAAGUAGAUGGAGAGGCAGGCAGAGAGAGAGAGAGGGAAGCAGGCUCCCUGCCGAGCAGAGAGCCCGAUGCGGGACUCGAUCCCAGGACCCUGAGAUCAUGACCUGAGCCGAAGGCAGCGGCUUAACCCACUGAGCCACCCAGGCGCCCAGGAGCGAUUUUAGAGCUGUGUUUUCCUGGAAGACGGAGGGGACGGCGCGCCCACCCGCAGGACCACCGCGGGCGGAAAGCCUGGAGCAGUGGGGCAGGGCUCGCUGUGGUUUUGACAUCCAGCCUCUGCCUUCACAUCCGCAUCCUCGGGUCCCACAGGCUCCUCGGGCCCCCGCAUCCUUGGUACUUGGGGACCCAGAACAGGCACAGUGCCUCUUGUGGGUACACAACGUGCUUUAACGUCACACUUGAAGACCCAGAGGCCAGCACCUGAGUCCGAGCUGUGACGGGCUGAAUGACUGUGGCCCCGAGUUCCCGUGUUGACGCCCUACCCACGGCGCGGCUGUGUUUGGAGAUGGGGGCCUCUAGGAAGUAAUUAAGUCAAAUGAGCUCACUCCCUCCCUGCUCUUGCCGCCGACAACAGGAGAGGCCACGUGAGGACAGAGUGAAGCCAGAAACCCAGUCAGCUGACCCCUCCAUCUUGGUCUUCUGGCCUCUGGAUUGAGAGAAAUCUAUGAGCCCCUGCCCCCUGCAUGGGUGGCGCUGUGAAUGGCUCCGAGCUGGGGCCCCAGUGAAGGAUGCCUGGUGUAGCCCAGUCUCCUCUUUUUGGGGGAGGAAAUGAAGUUGGGGUCUGGUCCUCUGCCCCUUGGGUGCUGGCUGUCCUCGCCGCUCGCCACGCAGGCAGCACGACCCCGCCACGGAGGCCGUGUGUGUGAUUCUUCCGAGACUCCGCUCUGUGACUGUGUCAGUGAGACAACUUUGCUUUGUUAGGUGACAGGUUUUCCUGAAUGGAAUUGAGUGCAUGGCAUCCCCAUUGUUUUGCUGAAGCGCAGAAGAACAAAAAUGAAAAUAAAGAUGCAGAAUGAUAGAGAAAUGAGAUUAUUACUCCUA